RNAcentral lists this RNase MRP RNA (666 nucleotides) under Microdochium bolleyi. RNAcentral describes it as "RNase MRP". It matches the Rfam family "RNase MRP". From Rfam's summary of the family: RNase MRP is an enzymatically active ribonucleoprotein with two distinct roles in eukaryotes. In mitochondria it plays a direct role in the initiation of mitochondrial DNA replication. Lineage: Eukaryota; Fungi; Ascomycota; Sordariomycetes; Xylariales; Microdochiaceae. The record is from Rfam by way of RNAcentral.
CUCUCGCCCAACAAAUCGCAGUCGAAGCAGCAUACAGAGAGACAAGCUCGUCCUCCUUCGCGGGAGAAUGCGGCCUCUGUCUCUCGAGCUCUACCGCUCACAGUUUGGAAAACACCAACCGCUUUGGGAGAAAGUCCCCGGACAUCAAGGACGCCUCACGCGCGCUUCAUGUGCGUGUGACGGUGGUUCACGCGGAAACGCGCCGCCAUAGAAGCAUAGCGGCUUACGUCCCCCCAUCUGUUUCUGGCCUCUCUCUUCAGCUCGUUGCUCCCGUCUUGUCGUUACAAUCUUCGCUGCCCACCCUUGUUUCGUCCCCCGGUCUUCGCGCUUUUCCUUCUUUUUGCACACUCAGCCUCGCAACACCCGGAGAGACCAACAUGGACGAAGAUACGAGUCCGCGCUCUCUGGUGUUCGAGUCUGUUAAACGUGUAGAAGAGGGGAAACAUGGCGUGUUGUACCAAUUCGCUCACGCGAGGCGACUAGGAGGCGCGUCGAUGGCUUGUCGCGGGCGUGUCUUCUGUUGAGAGAUUGGUUGGAAACGCUCAGGAUGGGUCGCGACGACCGAACUCUUCUUGGAUCUUUCGUCGAGAUUUACAGUUAUGCGAUUGCUGCUGGGUGCCGCAAGGCCCUGGUGGUUACUCGAUGGGGCUUAUUCUUGGUGCGAGG